Molecule: ribosomal RNA, 763 nt
Filed under: Diphtherophora sp. 1 AMH-2019
Lineage: Eukaryota; Metazoa; Nematoda; Enoplea; Triplonchida; Diphtherophoridae
Description: partial large subunit ribosomal RNA
Rfam family: Eukaryotic large subunit ribosomal RNA
Source: RNAcentral
ACAGGGCGUGAACCGCUUAGAAGGAAACAGGUGGUGCUGACAUUACGUUUGUCCGGAUUCAGCCGGUCCGACGGUGGACCGCUGGCUCGUCGAUCGGAAGACCAAGUGCGGCAGCGCUUCGAUCCGGCUAGGAUUGGUGCACUUUCGGCAGGCUGCGUCACGACCGACAGCUCGCGUCCGGAAGACGUGCGUUUUGCUGAAGACGGCGGGGCUUGGCAUUGCUGUGACUGGCCUUCCCGCUCGGUCCCGGUUCGACGUCGCCGGGAAUAGGCCGCGUCCGCUUCGCGCCCGUUCCUGUGCUGUCUCAUGGUCAGUCGGACUGUGGUUGUGUGCUUGCUCGUUGCUGUGACUCCCGGCUGUGACUGCGGCGCAUGUUGAGUGGCACAGAUGGUCUGUGGCGUCCGCGUCAGUCUCCCACCCGACCCGUCUUGAAACACGGACCAAGGAGUCUAACAUGACCGCAAGUCAUGGGGUCGAAAACCCAAAGGCGCAAUUAAAGUAAAGGUCGGCCCUAGCUGAUCGAGGUGAGAUCCUGGCUGCUUGUGGAUAGCCGCAUCACUGUCCCAUCGCAUCGGCUUGCCCGAGCGGUGGCGAAAGAGCGUGCAUGUUAGGACCCGAAAGAUGGUGAACUAUGCCUGAGAAGGAUGAAGCCAGAGGAAACCUCUGUGGAGGUCCGUAGCGGUUCUGACGUGCAAAUCGAUCGUCAAACUUGGGUAUAGGGCGAAAGCCUAAUCGAACCAUCUAGUAGCUGUUUCCUUUCCGA